GGGCUUGGCCAGCACUGAUGCAAAGGUGGUUUGGCCUUGAUUGUGGCACGCCACCUCUACUCCUGAGCCAGGCGUUCGC
Molecule: microRNA precursor, 79 nt
Filed under: Ovis aries (sheep)
Lineage: Eukaryota; Metazoa; Chordata; Mammalia; Artiodactyla; Bovidae
Description: miRNA (ENSOARG00000023365.1)
Source: RNAcentral